GGAGUUAGCCGGUGCUUCUUCUGCGAGUAACGUCACAGAUGUAAGGUAUUAACUUACACCCUUUCCUCCUCGCUGAAAGUGCUUUACAACCCGAAGGCCUUCUUCACACACGCGGCAUGGCUGCAUCAGGGUUUCCCCCAUUGUGCAAUAUUCCCCACUGCUGCCUCCCGUAGGAGUCUGGGCCGUGUCUCAGUCCCAGUGUGGCUGAUCAUCCUCUCAGACCAGCUAGGGAUCGUCGCCUAGGUGAGCCUUUACCUCACCUACUAGCUAAUCCCACCUGGGCUUAUCCAUCAGCGCAAGGCCCGAAGGUCCCCUGCUUUCCCCCGUAGGGCGUAUGCGGUAUUAGCAGUCGUUUCCAACUGUUAUCCCCCACAAAUGGGCAAAUUCCCAGGCAUUACUCACCCGUCCGCCGCUCGUCAUCUUCAAAAGCAAGCUUUUGAAAUGUUACCGCUCGACUUGCAUGUGUUAGGCCUGCCGCCAGCGUUCAAUCUGAACCAAGAUCAAAUUCNGA
Molecule: ribosomal RNA, 511 nt
Filed under: uncultured bacterium
Lineage: Bacteria
Description: partial 16S ribosomal RNA
Source: RNAcentral